CCGAAAGGGAUGUAUCAGCCCUAU
RNAcentral lists this non-coding RNA (24 nucleotides) under Arabidopsis thaliana (thale cress). The record is from RNAcentral. Lineage: Eukaryota; Viridiplantae; Streptophyta; Magnoliopsida; Brassicales; Brassicaceae.